CGGGUUGUAAAGCACUUUCAGUAGGGAGGAAGGUAGUGUAGUUAACACCUGCAUUAUUUGACGUUACCUACAGAAGAAGCACCGGCUAACUCCGUGCCAGCAGCCGCGGUAAUACGGAGGGUGCGAGCGUUAAUCGGAAUUACUGGGCGUAAAGCGCAUGCAGGCGGCCUGUUAAGUCAGAUGUGAAAGCCCGGGGCGUUAACCUCGGAAUUGCAUUUGUAAACUGGCAGGCUAGAGUCUUGUAGAGGGGGGUAGGAAUUUCAGGUGUAGCGGUGAAAUGCGUAGAGAUCUGAAGGAAUACCAGUGGCGAAGGCGGCCCCCUCGGACAAAGACUGACGCUCAGAUGCGAAAGCGUGGGGAGCAAACAGGAUUAGAUACCCUGGUAG
This 386-nucleotide ribosomal RNA is filed under the name uncultured bacterium. Its description in RNAcentral is "bacterial SSU rRNA". It matches the Rfam family "Bacterial small subunit ribosomal RNA", at positions 419 to 793 of the family's 1533-position model. The record is from RNAcentral.